RNAcentral lists this ribosomal RNA (1000 nucleotides) under Enterococcus mundtii. Its description in RNAcentral is "bacterial SSU rRNA". It matches the Rfam family "Bacterial small subunit ribosomal RNA". The record is from RNAcentral. Lineage: Bacteria; Bacillati; Bacillota; Bacilli; Lactobacillales; Enterococcaceae.
UCAACUACGUGGUCAGCAUGUCUGCGGGUAUUACUGUAGAGUGGACAACGCGUUGUUCCCGGACUUUAUUGGGGCGGUAAACGCGAGCAGCUGGCUGUUUUCUUAAGUCUUGAUGUGAGAGCUCCCCGGCUCAGCCGGGGGAGGGUUCAUUGGAAACUGGGAGACUUGAGUGCAGAAGAGGAGAGUGGAAUUUCCAUGUGUAGCGGUGAAAUGCGUAGAUAUAUGGAGGAACACCAGUGGCGAAGGCGGGCUCUAUCGUCUGUAACUGACGCUGAGGCUAGAAAGCGUGGGGAGCAAACAGGAUUAGAUACCAUGGUAGUCACACGCCGUAAACGAUGAGUGUUAAGUGUUGGAGGGUUUCCGCCCUUCAGUGCUGCAGCUAACGCCUUAAGCACUCCGCCUGGGGAGUACGACCGCAAGGUUGAAAAUCAAAGGAAUUGACGGGGGCCCGCCCAAGCGGUGGAGCAUGUGGUUUAAUUCGAAGCAACGCGAAGAACCUUACCAGGUCUUGACAUCCUUUGACCACUUUAGAGAUAGAGCUUCCCCUUCGGGGGCAAAGUGACAGGUUGUGCAUGGUCGUCGUCAGUUUGUGUUGUGAGAUCUUGGGUUAAGUCCCGCAACGAGCGCAACCCUUAUUGUUAGUUGCCAUCAUUCAGUUGGGCACUUUAGCAAGAUUGCCGGUGACAAACCGGAGGAAGGUGGGGAUGACGUCAAAUCAUCAUGCCCCUUAUGACCUGGGCUACCCACGUGAUCCAAUGGGAAGUACAACGAGUCGUGAAGUCGGGAGGCUAAGAUAAUCUCUUAAAGCUUCUCUCAGUUCGGAUUGUAGGCUGCAAGUCGCCUACAUGAAGCCGGAAUCGCUAGUAAUCCGGAUCAGCCCCCCUCGGUGAAUCCGUUCCCGGGCCUUGUACACACCCCCCGUCCCACCACGAGAGUUUGUAACACCCGAAGUCGGUGAGGUAACCUCGGGAGCCAGCCAUGAUAUAGAGAUUUCAUGGGG